This 466-nucleotide ribosomal RNA is filed under the name uncultured bacterium. Its description in RNAcentral is "partial 16S ribosomal RNA". It matches the Rfam family "Bacterial small subunit ribosomal RNA", at positions 28 to 507 of the family's 1533-position model. The record is from RNAcentral.
GAUGAACGCUGGCGGCGUGCUUAACACAUGCAAGUCGAACGAUGAAGCCCAGCUUGCUGGGUGGAUUAGUGGCGAACGGGUGAGUAACACGUGAGUAACCUGCCCUUGACUCUGGGAUAAGCCUGGGAAACUGGGUCUAAUACUGGAUAUGACUUCUCAUCGCAUGGUGGGGGGUGGAAAGAUUUAUUGGUCUUGGAUGGACUCGCGGCCUAUCAGCUUGUUGGUGAGGUAAUGGCUCACCAAGGCGACGACGGGUAGCCGGCCUGAGAGGGUGACCGGCCACACUGGGACUGAGACACGGCCCAGACUCCUACGGGAGGCAGCAGUGGGGAAUACUGCACAAUGGGCGCAAGCCUGAUGCAGCGACGCCGCGUGAGGGAUGACGGCCUUCGGGUUGUAAACCUCUUUCAGUAUGGAAGAAGCGAGAGUGACGGUACCUGCAGAAGAAGCGCCGGCUAACUACGUG